This is a long non-coding RNA of Asparagus officinalis (garden asparagus), 437 nucleotides long. RefSeq lists it as uncharacterized. The record is from RefSeq and is a predicted model, not a curated record. NCBI's taxonomy places the organism in Eukaryota, Viridiplantae, Streptophyta, Magnoliopsida, Asparagales, Asparagaceae. The transcript has 3 exons.
AAAACUUGAUUUAUAGUAAUAAGCUGCAAUUUUAUUGUCAUAUUUAACUAUAACCGCGUGUUUCAUGGUUAUUGAUUAGAGCUGGUAAAAGCCAACCACUGGAGAUUUUAACUGCAUGAGCUUGCACGUACUGUGACCAAUAACUCUCUACUCAACAUCAACCCCUCAUCUGGUGAGGCUAGAAUGCCUCCCACAAACAUACAAUAUCCUAUGGCAGGUUUGUUGUAAUGCUUGCGGCAAACCUGUGAAAGCCAGUCAGUUUGCAGCUCAUGAAGAGCGUUGCAAGUCAAUUAGCUCUAAGGAGAAUGCUGACCAGGAGCUUUAUGGUGGUGCUGAUCAAAAGAAACCUUCAAAGAAAGGGAGACAAAGAAUUCAAUUAACCAAUGGUAUUAUACUUGUCUUCAUUAUUGUUUCAUCUCUAUGUGAUGAUCUCUUUA